AGAGUUUGAUCAUGGCUCAGAACGUACGCUGGCGGCACGCCUAACACAUGCAAGUCGAACGAAGUAGCAAUACUUAGUGGCAGACGGGUGAGUAACAUGUAGGUAUCUGCCCUUUGGCCUGGAAUAACACGAGGAAACUUGUGCUAAUACCGGAUAAGUCUUUACGGAGAAAGCUUUAUGCACCAUUGGAUGAGCCUGCACUUGAUUAGUUUGUUGGUGGGGUAAUGNCCUACCAAGACUGUGAUCAAUAGCUGAUUUGAGAGGAUGAUCAGCCACAUUGGGACUGAGACACGGCCCAAACUCCUACGGGAGGCAGCAGUGGGGAAUCUUGCACAAUGGAGGAAACUCUGAUGCAGCGAUGCCGCGUGAGUGAAGAAGGCCCUUGG
Molecule: ribosomal RNA, 386 nt
Filed under: uncultured bacterium
Lineage: Bacteria
Description: bacterial SSU rRNA
Rfam family: Bacterial small subunit ribosomal RNA
Source: RNAcentral